AGGUGCGAUCAGACCAGCAUUAAUGCACCGGAUCCCAUCAGAACUCCGCAGUUAAGGGUGCUUGGGCGAGAGUAGUACAAGGAUGGGUGACCUCCUGGGAAGUCCUCGUGUUGCACCCC
Arabis alpina (gray rockcress) is the source of this 119-nucleotide non-coding RNA. Lineage: Eukaryota; Viridiplantae; Streptophyta; Magnoliopsida; Brassicales; Brassicaceae. The record is from Rfam.